RNAcentral lists this long non-coding RNA (281 nucleotides) under Carica papaya (papaya). Its description in RNAcentral is "long non-coding RNA (CPAP_LNC000054)". Lineage: Eukaryota; Viridiplantae; Streptophyta; Magnoliopsida; Brassicales; Caricaceae. The record is from RNAcentral.
CAUUAUUUCAGUAUCAUAACUCAAGGUAUAAACAGUUCAAUAAAUAACAUAAUUCAGUAUUCAGUAUCACAAUUUAGACAAUAAGCAGUUCAAUAAAUAUUAAUUCAGUAUUUCAGUAUUAUAAACGUUAACAUGACUCUCUAUUUAUUCUUAUCGAUUUAUAUCCUAUUAAUAAUAGUUUCAUUGCGAGAUGCCAUUUCUACUAGUAUCAACGAGAGCAGUAAAGAUCUCCUCUACAAUGUGAAUACGUUACAAUUCAAUUCACAGUUUAUAGUUCGUAG